Molecule: ribosomal RNA, 247 nt
Filed under: uncultured bacterium
Lineage: Bacteria
Description: partial 16S ribosomal RNA
Rfam family: Bacterial small subunit ribosomal RNA
Source: RNAcentral
GUAGUCCUACGGGGCGCAGCAGUAGGGAAUCUUCCACAAUGGGCGCAAGCCUGAUGGAGCAACACCGCGUGAGUGAAGAAGGGUUUCGGCUCGUAAAGCUCUGUUGUUGGAGAAGAACGUGCGUGAGAGUAACUGUUCACGCAGUGACGGUAUCCAACCCGAAAGUCACGGCUAACUACGUGGCAGCAGCCGCGGUAAUACGUAGGUGGCAAGCGUUAUCCGGAUUUAUUGGGCGUAAAGCGAGCGC